AAAGAGGCAAGAUCCAUGGCCUUUUACUCUAGUUCAAGGGCCACCUGGUACAGGUAAAACACACACAGUGUGGGGAAUGCUGAAUGUCAUCCAUCUUGUUCAGUAUCAGCACUAUUACACAGCAUUGCUCAAGAAACUUGCUCCUGAAAGCUAUAAGCAGAAUAACGAGAAUAACUCUGAUAAUGUUGUUACGGGAUCCAUUGAUGAAGUCUUGCUAAGCAUGGAUCAGAAUCUCUUCAGAACCCUCCCAAAGCUAUGUCCAAAACCUAGAAUGCUUGUCUGUGCUCCUUCAAAUGCUGCUACUGACGAGCUUCUUGCACGUGUUCUUGAUCGUGGAUUCAUUGAUGGUGAGAUGAAAGUUUAU
This 364-nucleotide unclassified non-coding RNA is filed under the name Hevea brasiliensis (rubber tree). Lineage: Eukaryota; Viridiplantae; Streptophyta; Magnoliopsida; Malpighiales; Euphorbiaceae. The record is from RNAcentral.